This 335-nucleotide long non-coding RNA is filed under the name Lupinus angustifolius (narrow-leaved blue lupine). Its description in RNAcentral is "long non-coding RNA (LANG_LNC001880)". The record is from RNAcentral. Lineage: Eukaryota; Viridiplantae; Streptophyta; Magnoliopsida; Fabales; Fabaceae.
AAAAAAGAGAGAAAAUUGGUACUAGUUUUUGUGAGUAGGGAAAUUGAUGAAGAAGAAUAUGAGAAAUGUGAGGGAGAGAGUAGCCAUAAGAUGCUAAAGGAGAACUUUUGGUGUGAACAAGACUUAAAAGGAGAAAAAUGAAUUGUGUAGAUGUAGAUUGGAGUGUGUGUAUGAGUGUAUGUGUGGAAGUAGUGGAAACGGAUGGGGAGAGAGAUAUUACUAUUGCAAUUAGAGGUAUCAUAGCAUAGUGAGUUAAGGAGAGUGGAGAAGUUGUAAUGGGGUUACUGUACAAUAGUUUAAGAGUAUGGGAAGAGUAAGAUGGGUUGAUUUCUUAG